GUAACGACGUAAAGAACUUGCCUUACAGACUGGGACAACAUUUGGAAACGAAAUGCUAACUACCGGUAUAUUAUGAUUGGGUCGCAUGAUCUGGUUAUGAAAGCUAUAUGCGCUGUGAGAGAGCUUUGCGUCCCAUUAGUUAGUUGGUGAGGUAACGGCUCACCAAGACGAUGAUGGGUAGCCGGCCUGAGAGGGUGAACGGCCACAAGGGACUGAGACACGGCCCUUACUCCUACGGGAGGCAGCAGUGGGGAAUAUUGGACAAUGGGCCAAAAGUCUGAUCCAGCAAAUUCUGUGUGCACGAUGAAGUUUUUCGGAAUGUAAAGUGCUUUCAGUUGGGAAGAAGUCAGUGACGGUACCAACAGAAGAAGCGACGGCUAAAUACGUGCCAGCAGCCGC
Molecule: ribosomal RNA, 399 nt
Filed under: uncultured bacterium
Lineage: Bacteria
Description: bacterial SSU rRNA
Rfam family: Bacterial small subunit ribosomal RNA
Source: RNAcentral